GGAGUUCAUUCUCUCUCUGGAUGCUCGACUUGAUGACAGCCAAUUAAAGGCUUCGUCCCAUCGAAAACGAGCAUCCGAAUCGGUGAGCAAGUUGUUUGUGAUUUGUUAGUGAUUUGUUAGUUGAACUAACAAAUCACAAUUCGGUUCCUACUCAAUAGUCGACCAGCGAGGAAUAAUAGGUGAAUUCGUCGACAAAACCUAGACGACGCCCAGGUCAACCACGGCAUCGCGCAAGACUGUGAAGAAGACCUCCGGGGACCCAAGUUUGAUGCUGUUUAAGCACGGACUACGUAUUAAAAUUUGAACUAAACCUUAUUGAAAAGGCUAUUUGUAGAUUUAAUAUAAUGUAAUUUUUUUAAUGUAUUUUGUAGGUUAUGUACUUUUUUUAUUUUUCCUUUUUUAAUGAAAAAAAUCGCAAACAUCCCUUCGGGUAACUUGCUAACGCAGGUAGCUGACAAUCCUUUUACAAAUAUUGAUUUUAACUUUUACAAACAAUACUAGAUGGCAUGUUUAGAAACGGUCACGCCAUCUGUUGCCAUCUACUCUACCGGUACCAACCCCCAGAAAAACUUCCGCACCACACGCGGACCAACAUCAAAAUAGGAUUCUCUUUGUUGGCUUCCAACUUUUUACCGUUUCACCGGAGAAAAAAUUCAACCCGUUACAUUAGAGAAACUACCAGAAUUUACAAGUAAACACAAGAACGACUAUACAAUGAAACAAAAGAGAGAACCGAUAUCAACAAGAAUGACGGGAGAAUCAGCCUGGCUAAAGACUGUACGAUAACUGAAGUACUAGCUUCUUCCAUUUGGAUUCGUAUUCGUCGAUCGACGGGAACCGUCCCAUUUUCCACGUUUUCCAUGUUACAUCCACAAAGACGGUCACAAGUAUUCGAGCGGGGGCGUCGUGUGGAAGUCGCCCUAUAUCUGAUCCAGUGCGUCCAAAUACCGGAGCAGCCGAGGGACACGAGGUACCUCUUAUCCAGUUCGUGGCUGUUACACGUUCUGGGCAUCCGAGAUGGUCAGCCGAUAUUUUACUUUACCACUGCACUGAUUGUUGGAAAUUUAUUGCAUCCCAACAGUGAUCGGCACUAUUGCUACUGUUAAUUCUAUGUAAUUUGUAGGGACCUCAACAGAGGGCCCCAAUUUUACCCUCUCUUUCCACUCAAUCUAUUGUUCCUAUCCUACU
RNAcentral lists this long non-coding RNA (1188 nucleotides) under Daphnia pulex (common water flea). RNAcentral's name for it is "uncharacterized LOC124201623, transcript variant X5". The record is from RNAcentral. Lineage: Eukaryota; Metazoa; Arthropoda; Branchiopoda; Diplostraca; Daphniidae.